RNAcentral lists this long non-coding RNA (216 nucleotides) under Elaeis guineensis (African oil palm). RNAcentral describes it as "long non-coding RNA (EGUI_LNC073207)". Lineage: Eukaryota; Viridiplantae; Streptophyta; Magnoliopsida; Arecales; Arecaceae. The record is from RNAcentral.
CGAUUUUCAUGCAAGAGAGAAAUGAGAAUGAUCCAUUCAUUUCAUAAUGGAAUCCAGACUCAUCCCAAUGGAGCUAAAACUCAUUCCAGUGGAAUGAGAUUAAAAAAAAAAUCAUCUUCCUCAUCCGCUCUCCUUCCUCCCUCGAGGCCCUCGCCGUUAAGGCCAUCUCCCGCUCCUCCAUCAAGCAGAAGAACACUGCCGCUGAUGCCUACCACC